This 467-nucleotide ribosomal RNA is filed under the name uncultured bacterium. RNAcentral's name for it is "partial 16S ribosomal RNA". It matches the Rfam family "Bacterial small subunit ribosomal RNA", at positions 28 to 507 of the family's 1533-position model. The record is from RNAcentral.
AAUGAACGCUGGCGGCGUGCUUAACACAUGCAAGUCGAACGGAAAGGCCCAAGCUUGCUUGGGUACUCGAGUGGCGAACGGGUGAGUAACACGUGGGUGAUCUGCCCUGCACUUCGGGAUAAGCCUGGGAAACUGGGUCUAAUACCGGAUAGGACCACUUCUUGGAUGUUGUGGUGGAAAGUUUUUUCGGUGUGGGAUGAGCUCGCGGCCUAUCAGCUUGUUGGUGGGGUAAUGGCCUACACAGGCGUCGACGGGGAGCCGGCCUGAGAGGGUGUACGGCCACAUUGGGACUGAGAUACGGCCCAGACUCCCACGGGAGGCAGCAGUGGGGAAUAUUGCACAAGGGGCGCAAGCCUGAUGCAGCGACGCCGCGUGGGGGAUUACGGCCUUCGGGUUGUAAACUCCUUUCGCUAGGGACGAAGCGUUUUGUGACGGUACCUGGAGAAGAAGCACCGGCUAACUACGUG